GAUGAACGCUGGCGGCGUGCUUAACACAUGCAAGUCGAACGGAAAGGCCCUGCUUUUGUGGGGUGCUCGAGUGGCGAACGGGUGAGUAACACGUGUGUAACCUGCCCUUGACUUUGGGAUAACUUCAGGAAACUGGGGCUAAUACCGGAUAGGAGCUCCUGCAGCACGGGGGGGGUUGGAAAGUUUCGGCGGUUGGGGAUGGACUCGCGGCUUAUCAGCUUGUUUGUGGGGUAGUGGCUUACCAAGGCUUUGACGGGUAGCCGGCCUGAGAGGGUGACCGGCCACAUUGGGACUGAGAGACGGCCCAGACUCCUACGGGAGGCAGCAGUGGGGAAUAUUGCGCAAUGGGCGGAAGCCUGAUGCAGCAACGCCGCGUGCGGGAUGACGGCCUUCGGGUUGUAAACCGCUUUCGCCUGUGACGAAGCGUGAGUGACGGUAAUGGGUAAAGAAGCACCGGCUAACUACGUG
This 468-nucleotide ribosomal RNA is filed under the name uncultured bacterium. RNAcentral's name for it is "partial 16S ribosomal RNA". It matches the Rfam family "Bacterial small subunit ribosomal RNA", at positions 28 to 507 of the family's 1533-position model. The record is from RNAcentral.